UGAUGGAGGGGGAUAACUACUGGAAACGGUAGCUAAUACCGCAUAAUGUCGCAAGACCAAAGUGGGGGACCUUCGGGCCUCAUGCCAUCAGAUGUGCCCAGAUGGGAUUAGCUAGUAGGUGGGGUAACGGCUCACCUAGGCGACGAUCCCUAGCUGGUCUGAGAGGAUGACCAGCCACACUGGAACUGAGACACGGUCCAGACUCCUACGGGAGGCAGCAGUGGGGAAUAUUGCACAAUGGGCGCAAGCCUGAUG
RNAcentral lists this ribosomal RNA (255 nucleotides) under Klebsiella pneumoniae. RNAcentral's name for it is "partial 16S ribosomal RNA". It matches the Rfam family "Bacterial small subunit ribosomal RNA", at positions 131 to 388 of the family's 1533-position model. The record is from RNAcentral. Lineage: Bacteria; Pseudomonadati; Pseudomonadota; Gammaproteobacteria; Enterobacterales; Enterobacteriaceae.